GCCAGAAGCACUUUCUCUCCAGUAUUGUAACUUGUCCAAUGCAAAUGUCCUCAAAGCCGCAAUUUUGCAUAACAAAGAGACAGCAAUUAUAGUGUGUGUAUAGCCAGGUGCGCCAAAGCUUUCAUCCCUCACUUUGGUUAGUGAUCCUAAGCAAGCUCCAGCAACUAAGAGAAUAAGAUAAUCCAUUGCUUGCAUUUUUGCUUCUCGUAAUCUUUGCUUACCUAACCUUCCAAUGAAAUACUUAUAUUGCAGAAGAACAUUUGGAGUUCUCCGGUUGGAGAGGUCCUUUGUCCUCAUAAAGUUGUGCAGUAUAAUAUCACGUUGGCGCUCCACGUUAGUCUUCAUG
This 346-nucleotide unclassified non-coding RNA is filed under the name Hevea brasiliensis (rubber tree). The record is from RNAcentral. Lineage: Eukaryota; Viridiplantae; Streptophyta; Magnoliopsida; Malpighiales; Euphorbiaceae.